CUCGCUGCUAUAGGACACAUGCUCUGCUAACCAACAGAGCACAGGUAGGAGCAGAACAAGACUCCUCCAUCCCUCUACACCAAUGCAUCUGGGACUUGGGCUGGUGGGACCUGCCUCUAGGGGUGAAAGGGGAGUUCAGUCUCUGUGGCCCAUUCAGUUUGUAGCUUCC
Molecule: small RNA, 169 nt
Filed under: Chrysemys picta bellii (western painted turtle)
Lineage: Eukaryota; Metazoa; Chordata; Testudines; Emydidae
Description: TUC338 (ENSCPBG00000005718.1)
Source: RNAcentral